Molecule: ribosomal RNA, 253 nt
Filed under: uncultured bacterium
Lineage: Bacteria
Description: partial 16S ribosomal RNA
Rfam family: Bacterial small subunit ribosomal RNA
Source: RNAcentral
GACGGAGGGUGCUAGCGUUGUUCGGAAUGACUGGGCGUAAAGGGCGCGUAGGCGGCUCGUGAAGUCGGGUGUGAAAGCCCGGGGCUCAACCCCGGAACGGCAUCCGAUACUGUCGGGCUCGAGUCCGGAAGAGGAGUGUGGAAUUCCUGGUGUAGCGGUGAAAUGCGCAGAUAUCAGGAGGAACACCAAUGGCGAAGGCAGCACUCUGGGACGUGACUGACGCUGAGACGCGAAAGCGUGGGGAGCAAACAGG